UGGGCAGUGCCAUCUAUGAGGCAAAAACCGAAAGUGUCGCCAUCUAGUGGUCAGUUGGGUGCCGCGAUUGGGGUAAGAAUUUUCGGAGACGAAGAGGCAACAGAGUCAAUUGUCAUGAUCCCGGAAAACGGAGAGUUAUUCUAUGGGGGCUAACUUAGCUUCCCGCCCAGAGCCACGAGCUGCUGGCUUUCUUUCCCUUUUCGGCAGCCAUCGAGUGCGGUUUAGUUCAGUUUGGCCUUGUGUAAAGUGACGGAUAGAAUAUCCAGAUUAUAUAUAUAGCGCUAAAUCCUGUUUAUGGGUUUGGCGCUUAGUAUCCGAUAUUGGAUCCGGCCGUUGCUGUAGAGGGAACAAUUCAUCAAGUCCCCCUAAAGAAGAGCGAAGUCAUCCGACGGAGAAGGGAAAUUAUCGUCGCAUAAAGGGGUCUCAAAGGCCUAAGAGUUCCCUAAGAUAAUUAUUUAAUCAGCUUAAGUCGCUGGGAGCGGAGUUAGGACUAAGAGAGGGCAAAAGAGUCAAAAAGAACUCGAGAUGUAACACCUGCCCAAAUUACACAUAAUAUUUAUAUUCCCUCUUCAUCAUCUUCGUUAUCUCCC
Drosophila elegans is the source of this 590-nucleotide long non-coding RNA. RefSeq lists it as uncharacterized. The transcript is spliced from 3 exons. The record is from RefSeq and is a predicted model, not a curated record. NCBI's taxonomy places the organism in Eukaryota, Metazoa, Arthropoda, Insecta, Diptera, Drosophilidae.